RNAcentral lists this ribosomal RNA (429 nucleotides) under Chloroflexota bacterium. Its description in RNAcentral is "Chloroflexi bacterium partial 16S ribosomal RNA". It matches the Rfam family "Bacterial small subunit ribosomal RNA", at positions 355 to 776 of the family's 1533-position model. Lineage: Bacteria; Bacillati; Chloroflexota. The record is from RNAcentral.
UGGGGAAUAUUGCACAAUGGGCGCAAGCCUGAUGCAGCCAUGCCGCGUGUAUGAAGAAGGCCUUCGGGUUGUAAAGUACUUUCAGUCGGGAGGAAGGUGGUAAGGUUAAUAACCUUAUCAAUUGACGUUACCGACAGAAGAAGCACCGGCUAACUCCGUGCCAGCAGCCGCGGUAACACGGAGGGUGCAAGCGUUAAUCGGAAUUACUGGGCGUAAAGCGCACGCAGGCGGUUGAUUGAGUCAGAUGUGAAAUCCCCGGGCUUAACCCGGGAAUUGCAUCUGAUACUGGUCAGCUAGAGUCUUGUAGAGGGGGGUAGAAUUCCAUGUGUAGCGGUGAAAUGCGUAGAGAUGUGGAGGAAUACCGGUGGCGAAGGCGGCCCCCUGGACAAAGACUGACGCUCAGGUGCGAAAGCGUGGGGAGCAAACAGG